GACAGGGGGCUCGAGCGUUAAUCGGAAUCACUGGGCUUAAAGGGCGCGUAGGCGGCACGGCAAGUCAGGAGUGAAAGGCCUGGGCUCAACCGAGGAACUGCUUUUGAGACUGCCGAGCUAGAGUGCGGAAGGGGCAACCGGAAUUCCCAGUGUAGCGGUGAAAUGCGUAGAUAUUGGGAAGAACACCUGAGGCGAAGGCGGGUUGCUGGGCCGACACUGACGCUGAGGCGCGAAAGCCAGGGGAGCAAACGGG
This 253-nucleotide ribosomal RNA is filed under the name uncultured bacterium. Its description in RNAcentral is "partial 16S ribosomal RNA". It matches the Rfam family "Bacterial small subunit ribosomal RNA", at positions 524 to 776 of the family's 1533-position model. The record is from RNAcentral.